GGGGGAAAAUUAAUUAUUUAAUUAAUAAUAAAAGAAUUUUUGUAGUUAAAAUAUUUGAUGGGGGUUAAAGUAUUUUAAUAGAAAAAAUUGAAAAAUUUAUAGUAUAUUAGUAUUGUGAAAGAAUUUUGAAAUAUUUAUGAAAUAAUGAAUUAUUUAAAAAGUAGUUUUUAAUUAAUGUAUCUUGUGUAUCAGAGUUUAUUAAUAAUUUUUUUUAGAUAAAAAUUUCUCGAAUUUAAAAGAGAUAAUUAAUUAAUAAAGUUAUUGUGGCAUAAAUAUUUUAAAUAAUUAAUUGGAAAUGAAAUGUUAAUCGUUUUUAAAUAUAUCUAGUUUUUUUAGAAAAAAAUUUAAUUUUAAAUUUUUAUAAAAUAAAAUUUAUUAAUAAAUUUUAUUUUAUGGAAGUUUUAUAUUUUAAGGGAUAAGCUUUAAAUUAAAUUUAUAUAAUUAAUUUAGGAUUUAUAUUGAAAAUUUUAUAAUUUAUAUUGUUAAUAAAUUUUAUUUUAUUAUAAAUAAUUUCAAUAAAUUAUAAAAUUUAAUAUGGAAAUUUAUAUUUUUAUAAAAAAAUAAUUUUUAAUUAUUAAAAAUUAGUUAUAAUGAUAAAAUUAGUAUAUAAAUAAUAUAUUAAAUUAUAAUUAUUUGUUAAAAUUAAAUAUAAGGAAUUCGGCAAAAAUUUAUAUUCACUUGUUUAUCAAAAACAUGUCUUUUUGUAAAUAAUUUAAAGUCUAAUCUGCCCACUGAUUUAUAUUAAAGGGCUGCAGUAUUUUGACUGUACAAAGGUAGCAUAAUCAAUAGUCAUUUAAUUGAUGACUUGUAUGAAAGAUUGGAUGAAAUAUAGACUGUCUCUUAUUUAAAAUUUAGAAUUUAAUUUUUCAAUUAAAAAGUUGAAAUAUAAUAAAAAGACGAGAAGACCCUAUAGAGUUUUAUAUUUUUUAUAGUUAAUAUUAUUUGUAAAAUUAAAAUUGAAAUUAUAAAAAUUAUUUUGUUGGGGUGAUAAAAAAAUAAAAUUAACUUUUUUUAUUUUUUAACAUAGAUAAGUGGUUAAAUGAUCCAAUUUUAUUGAUUAAAAGAAAAAAUUACCUUAGGGAUAACAGCGUAAUUUUUUUUUUUAGUUCGAAUAAAAAAAAAAGUUUGCGACCUCGAUGUUGGAUUAAGAUAAAAUUUAAAUGCAAAAGUUUAAAAUUUUGAUCUGUUCGAUCAUUAAAAUCUUACAUGAUCUGAGUUCAAACCGGUGUGAGCCAGGUUGGUUUCUAUCUUUUAUGGAUUAUUAUAUUUUAGUACGAAAGGAAUAAAUAUGAAAAUUAAAUUUAAUUUAAUUGAAUAUUAAUAAUUUAUUUUAAAAUUAAUAAUAAAUUUACUAUUUUUA
RNAcentral lists this ribosomal RNA (1360 nucleotides) under Phalera grotei. RNAcentral's name for it is "16S ribosomal RNA". Lineage: Eukaryota; Metazoa; Arthropoda; Insecta; Lepidoptera; Notodontidae. The record is from RNAcentral.